AGUGAACGCUGGCGGUAGGCCUAACACAUGCAAGUCGAACGGCAGCACAGUAAGAGCUUGCUCUUACGGGUGGCGAGUGGCGGACGGGUGAGGAAUACAUCGGAAUCUACUUUUUCGUGGGGGAUAACGUAGGGAAACUUACGCUAAUACCGAAUACGACCUACGGGUGAAAGCAGGGGAUCUUCGGACCUUGCGCGAUUGAAUGAGCCGAUGUCGGAUUAGCUAGUUGGCGGGGUAAAGGCCCACCAAGGCAACGAUCCGUAGCUGGUCUGAGAGGAUGAUCAGCCACACUGGAACUGAGACACGGUCCAGACUCCUACGGGAGGCAGCAGUGGGGAAUAUUGGGCAAUGGGCGCAAGCCUGAUCCAGCCAUACCGCGUGGGUGAAGAAGGACUUCGGGUUGUAAAGCCCUGUUGUUGGGAAAGAAAAGCAGCAGGUUAAUACCCCGCUGUUCUGACGGUACCCAAAGAAUAAGCACCGGCUAACUUCGUG
RNAcentral lists this ribosomal RNA (492 nucleotides) under uncultured bacterium. RNAcentral's name for it is "partial 16S ribosomal RNA". It matches the Rfam family "Bacterial small subunit ribosomal RNA", at positions 29 to 507 of the family's 1533-position model. The record is from RNAcentral.